Molecule: ribosomal RNA, 437 nt
Filed under: Enterobacter roggenkampii
Lineage: Bacteria; Pseudomonadati; Pseudomonadota; Gammaproteobacteria; Enterobacterales; Enterobacteriaceae
Description: partial 23S ribosomal RNA
Rfam family: Bacterial large subunit ribosomal RNA
Source: RNAcentral
UGGUGGGUAGUUUGACUGGGGCGGUCUCCUCCCAAAGAGUAACGGAGGAGCACGAAGGUUAGCUAAUCCUGGUCGGACAUCAGGAGGUUAGUGCAAUGGCAUAAGCUAGCUUGACUGCGAGAGUGACGGCUCGAGCAGGUGCGAAAGCAGGUCAUAGUGAUCCGGUGGUUCUGAAUGGAAGGGCCAUCGCUCAACGGAUAAAAGGUACUCCGGGGAUAACAGGCUGAUACCGCCCAAGAGUUCAUAUCGACGGCGGUGUUUGGCACCUCGAUGUCGGCUCAUCACAUCCUGGGGCUGAAGUAGGUCCCAAGGGUAUGGCUGUUCGCCAUUUAAAGUGGUACGCGAGCUGGGUUUAGAACGUCGUGAGACAGUUCGGUCCCUAUCUGCCGUGGGCGCUGGAGAAUUGAGGGGGGCUGCUCCUAGUACGAGAGGACCGG